AUGAUUACUGUGCUAUGCAACUUCCAUUCGCGAGGGGGGGCUGUGUUUACACAUCAUACCAUGGGUUUCAUGAAUCACCAUAUCCAGAGAUUCGUCGACACAGCUUGUUGCCAGUCGAAGAAGGAUUGGCCGGUGCUGCCGGCUGGCCUCAAGUUCGAUCCCACGGAUCAGGAGCUGAUCGAGCACCUUGAGGCCAAAGUGAGUAUUGAUAGCGCGAGAUUUCAGUCUCUCAUCAAUUUGUUCAUACCAACCAUCGACAGCGAGCACGGCAUAUGCUACACCCAACCUGAAAAACUUCCAGCAAAAAAGGUUCUGGUGCUGCACACCAACAAGAACUUCGACCAGCAGAGGACCAACUGGAUGAUGCACCAAUACCACAUCGGGGACCUGGAGCAAGAGAAGGAGCGGGAGCUGGUCCUCUGCAAGAUUUUCUAUCAGACGAACACUAGGGCAGGAGUAGUUUGGUCGAGCAAGUUUCAACUGGGUUGUAGACUGACCAAGGUUGGUUUUGUUUUUAACAGGCCCAGCCCAUGA
RNAcentral lists this ribosomal RNA (534 nucleotides) under Triticum aestivum (bread wheat). RNAcentral describes it as "partial small subunit ribosomal RNA". The record is from RNAcentral. Lineage: Eukaryota; Viridiplantae; Streptophyta; Magnoliopsida; Poales; Poaceae.